CCCUUAGAUGUUCUGGGCCGCACGCGUGCUACACUGAGUGGAUCAGCGGGUCAGGUUGCGCGAAAGCGUUUCCUAAUCUUCAAAUCCGCUCGUGAUGGGGAUUGACGGUUGCAAUUUUCUGUCAUGAACGAGGAAUACCUUGUAAGCGCGGGUCAUCAUCCCGCGCUGAAUACGUCCCUGCCCUUUGUACACACCGCCCGUCGCUCCUACCGAUUGAGUGGUCCGGUGAGGCUUUGGGAUCUGAGCGGAAAGAGCGUUUCGCUGUUUCUGCUCGGAAAACUCAGUCGAACCUUAUCAUUUAGAGGAAGGAGAAGUCGUAACA
RNAcentral lists this ribosomal RNA (322 nucleotides) under uncultured eukaryote. Its description in RNAcentral is "partial 18S ribosomal RNA". It matches the Rfam family "Eukaryotic small subunit ribosomal RNA", at positions 1470 to 1796 of the family's 1831-position model. The record is from RNAcentral.